Molecule: long non-coding RNA, 468 nt
Organism: Agrilus planipennis (emerald ash borer)
Lineage: Eukaryota; Metazoa; Arthropoda; Insecta; Coleoptera; Buprestidae
Exons: 3
Source: RefSeq, a predicted model, not a curated record
GGUAGACUUAUCUUAUCAAUUUGUCUUUUAUCACUAAUGUAAAUUUUGUUUAUUAUGAGUAAUCAAGCAUCACCUAAAUCGAGUUUUUUUGUGUAAGUCAGAAAAGAAUGAAGCACGUUGUCUUAUUUUUUUGUUUUGGUAGUUUGCUAUCAGUUUCUGAUCAAAUUUCAUCCUACAUUCCUUCGAAUUUAUUGAAAUGUUAUCAAUCGAGUUACGCAGAAAAUUUUCCAAAGCCUCCAUUAACUAUUCAAACUUUUAUAGAACUUAUUAGAAAAUUAGAAUUUGACGAAGGAAAUACGUUAAACAUGAGAGUACUAUCAAAUGCAUUGCUUCAUAGAUGCAUACUCAUUUAAAUAAAUGUUUACGAAUAGUUAUUGUUGUAUAUACAAUUUACAUGUACAUAAUUUACAUAUUAUUUUAUUAGUCACUCGUAUUAAAAAUAACUUACAACAACCAUAGGUGUAUGCA